RNAcentral lists this ribosomal RNA (269 nucleotides) under uncultured bacterium. RNAcentral describes it as "partial 16S ribosomal RNA". It matches the Rfam family "Bacterial small subunit ribosomal RNA", at positions 333 to 598 of the family's 1533-position model. The record is from RNAcentral.
UUUCGCCUACGGGGGGCAGCAGUGAGGAAUAUUGGUCAAUGGGCGGAAGCCUGAACCAGCCAAGUCGCGUGAGGGACUAAGGCCCUACGGGUCGUAAACCUCUUUUGCCGGGGAUCAGUGCCCAGCUCGCGAGCUGGGAGGGAGCGUACCCGGAGAAAAAGCAUCGGCUAACUCCGUGCCAGCAGCCGCGGUAAUACGGAGGAGGCGAGCGUUAUCCGGAUUUAUUGGGUUUAAAGGGUGCGUAGGCGGGCCUUCAGGCCGGCGGGAAA